CAGUAGCCACGGGAAUACGAAGGGGGCUAGCGUUGUUCGGAUUUACUGGGCGUAAAGCGCACGUAGGCGGACUUUUAAGUCAGGGGUGAAAUCCCGGGGCUCAACCCCGGAACUGCCUUUGAUACUGGAAGUCUUGAGUAUGGUAGAGGUGAGUGGAAUUCCGAGUGUAGAGGUGAAAUUCGUAGAUAUUCGGAGGAACACCAGUGGCGAAGGCGGCUCACUGGACCAUUACUGACGCUGAGGUGCGAAAGCGUGGGGAGCAAACAGGAUUAGAUACCCCCGUAGUCCCUGUCUCUUAUAC
Molecule: ribosomal RNA, 301 nt
Filed under: uncultured bacterium
Lineage: Bacteria
Description: partial 16S ribosomal RNA
Rfam family: Bacterial small subunit ribosomal RNA
Source: RNAcentral